Molecule: ribosomal RNA, 105 nt
Filed under: uncultured eukaryote
Lineage: Eukaryota
Description: partial small subunit ribosomal RNA
Source: RNAcentral
UCGCUCCUACCGAUUGAGUGGCCCGGUGAAUUGCGCUGCUGGGCACAUCUGCGCUCGUGUGGGUGUUCUAAACGCGUUGUAAACCUUGUUACUUAGAGGAAGGAG